This 756-nucleotide long non-coding RNA is filed under the name Xyrichtys novacula (pearly razorfish). The record is from RNAcentral. Lineage: Eukaryota; Metazoa; Chordata; Actinopteri; Labriformes; Labridae.
UAUAAUGCAAUAUGAUAAUGUGGUCAUAAUAAGACAUGAUAUGAUUCCAAAAUUUUGAAUCACUCUUUUAACUUCCAUGAGUCAUAAUCUCUUCAAAGAUGUUAUUUAGAGUCUGAAUUUUACACAAAUAAGCAAGAUUACCAUUGAGGAGAGGUUCUCGAAACGUAGUAAAAGAGGUUUAUUUCUACUUUUCAGUGAGAAAUGUGCCUUUUUUGGAAGGAAAACCUUCUAAAUUGGAUGAAGUUAACCCGAGGCGUCGCUUACUUACAUUUCCCUCACUUGCUGGUGUUAAAACAAAUCAAACUAUUCAGUUAAUACUUCAGGUAACCUAAUUUUUUUGUUCAGCUUUGCUUGAGUGAACAAGCCUCACUGUUAAUGUCACGCUGAAUACCUUUUAUCAGAAUCACUCCCUCUCUUUUUUCUCUUCUCUUCAGCUCUCAUGGCCAUGAUUGCACAUAUUCAUGGGGUUAUACCUUCCGUCAUUCAGCAUAAUUGCUUUGCUUGCCCUAGUUGUGAACUCACUUUGGCAUGCAAAGGAGCAUUCAGUCAUGAACAUGAAGCUGCAAGGAAAGACAUCCAACCUUCAGAAAGAGCUCCAGCUAAUAAAAUGUUCAAGUCACGGAUAAAUCCUCUUCUUUCAUGAAGCAAAAGUCUUGACUAACUUCAGCUGGCCAUACUUGACUGACUCACUCUUCCUCUGAAUUUUCUGCCUGAUGACUAAACAAAACAAUUGAAGAGAUGAAUGAUAAACUGAUG